This 253-nucleotide ribosomal RNA is filed under the name uncultured bacterium. RNAcentral describes it as "partial 16S ribosomal RNA". It matches the Rfam family "Bacterial small subunit ribosomal RNA", at positions 524 to 776 of the family's 1533-position model. The record is from RNAcentral.
UACGGGGGGGGCAAGCGUUGUUCGGAAUUACUGGGCGUAAAGGGCUCGUAGGCGGCCAACUAAGUCAGACGUGAAAUCCCUCGGCUUAACCGGGGAACUGCAUCUGAUACUGGAUGGCUUGAGAUUGGGAGAGGGAUGCGGAAUUCCAGGUGUAGCGGUGAAAUGCGUAGAGAUGUGGAGGAACACCGAUGGCGAAGGCAGCCCCCUGGGUCAACACUGACGCUCAUGCACGAAAGCGUGGGGAGCAAACAGG